AGAGCUUGCUUUAAAGAAGUUAGCGGCGGACGGGUGAGUAACACGUGGGCAACCUGCCUGUAAGACUGGGAUAACUUCGGGAAACCGGAGCUAAUACCGGAUAAUAUAUAGUACCUCCUGGUACUAUAUUGAAAGUUGGUUUCGGCUAACACUUACAGAUGGGCCCGCGGCGCAUUAGCUAGUUGGUGAGGUAACGGCUCACCAAGGCAACGAUGCGUAGCCGACCUGAGAGGGUGAUCGGCCACACUGGGACUGAGACACGGCCCAGACUCCUACGGGAGGCAGCAGUAGGGAAUCUUCCACAAUGGACGAAAGUCUGAUGGAGCAACGCCGCGUGAGCGAUGAAGGCCUUCGGGUCGUAAAGCUCUGUUGUUAGGGAAGAACAAGUGCGAGAGUAACUGCUCGCACCUUGACGGUACCUAACCAGAAAGCCACGGCUAACUACGUGCCAGCAGCCGCGGUAAUACGUANGUGGCAAGCGUUGUCCGGAAUUAUUGGGCGUAAAGCGCGCGCNNGCGGUUUCUUAAGUCUGAUGUGAAAGCCCACGGNUCAACCGUGGAGGGUCAUUGGAAACUGGGAGAC
Molecule: ribosomal RNA, 582 nt
Filed under: uncultured Bacillus sp.
Lineage: Bacteria; Bacillati; Bacillota; Bacilli; Caryophanales; Bacillaceae
Description: bacterial SSU rRNA
Rfam family: Bacterial small subunit ribosomal RNA
Source: RNAcentral